GUGACUGUAGCAUAACGGCUAAUGCACUGCGUUGUGGUCGCAGCCAAUGCGGGUUCGAGUCCCGUCAGUCACCCC
Molecule: transfer RNA, 75 nt
Filed under: Streptomyces phage Gilson
Lineage: Duplodnaviria; Heunggongvirae; Uroviricota; Caudoviricetes; Stanwilliamsviridae
Also listed under: 1 other name
Description: tRNA-His
Rfam family: tRNA
About the family: Transfer RNA (tRNA) molecules are approximately 80 nucleotides in length. Their secondary structure includes four short double-helical elements and three loops (D, anti-codon, and T loops).
Source: RNAcentral